This 553-nucleotide unclassified non-coding RNA is filed under the name Hevea brasiliensis (rubber tree). The record is from RNAcentral. Lineage: Eukaryota; Viridiplantae; Streptophyta; Magnoliopsida; Malpighiales; Euphorbiaceae.
AAGGAUAAGAUCCUCAUUCCCCUGACAAAAGUUUUAGUUCAAAUAUCAAUAUCAGAAGUUAAUGCACUUUUCCAUAUCCAUAUCAAGGGGCAGAAACACAUCAGAAAAAAAAAAUGAUAGAGUGAGAAUGAUCAACAUGACUGCAGGCUUACAACUUGCCAUCAGUUGUGCCAAAAACAAAAUUGUGAAGUUAAAAUUCACCAAUUGAAGAAACAUAAAAAUACUAGAGGCUUGUGGCAGAUGCUCUGCAUCUAAAAUUUAACUACUGCUUGACCCUAUACUUCAAAUUGCACUAAGGAUGUCAAGUUUUGCUCAGUCUAUGGACCCACAGCGAUGUCCUAUAGUGUACACAUACCUUUUUGUAUGUUGAAAAGCUCAGAUGUCUUUCUACCAUGUUUUAAGCCAUCAGCAGUACUGGCUACUGUAUUCAAGAACCCAUCAUGUGGUUCUGAUUAAUUAGUAAACACACAUGCUUUUGCUAUUUGUUAACAAAGCAUAAAGAAUUUAAGAAAUUCCAGACUUAAAAAAUGUCUCAAUUCAGGAACAACACGUA